RNAcentral lists this non-coding RNA (30 nucleotides) under Homo sapiens (human). Lineage: Eukaryota; Metazoa; Chordata; Mammalia; Primates; Hominidae. The record is from RNAcentral.
UGAGCUCAGUGCGAGAACAGCCCUCUGUCU